AGUGAACGCUGGCGGUAGGCCUAACACAUGCAAGUCGAACGGCAGCACAGUAAGAGCUUGCUCUUACGGGUGGCGAGUGGCGGACGGGUGAGGAAUACAUCGGAAUCUACUUUUUCGUGGGGGAUAACGUAGGGAAACUUACGCUAAUACCGCAUACGACCUACGGGUGAAAGCAGGGGAUCUUCGGACCUUGCGCGAUUGAAUGAGCCGAUGUCGGAUUAGCUAGUUGGCGGGGUAAAGGCCCACCAAGGCGACGAUCCGUAGCUGGUCUGAGAGGAUGAUCAGCCACACUGGAACUGAGAAACGGUCCAGACUCCUACGGGAGGCAGCAGUGGGGAAUAUUGGACAAUAGGCGCAAGCCUGAUCCAGCCAUACCGCGUGGGUGAAGAAGGCCUUCGGGUUGUAAAGCCCUUUUGUUGGGAAAGAAAAGCAGCAGGUUAAUACCCCGCUGUUCUGACGGUACCCAAAGAAUAAGCACCGGCUAACUUCGUG
RNAcentral lists this ribosomal RNA (492 nucleotides) under uncultured bacterium. RNAcentral's name for it is "partial 16S ribosomal RNA". It matches the Rfam family "Bacterial small subunit ribosomal RNA", at positions 29 to 507 of the family's 1533-position model. The record is from RNAcentral.